AAGAGGACCACCGGCGGCUGUACUCUCCGAUCAGCGGCGGCGAACGAUGGAGAAGUACUUCGGCAACCCCUACCGCGGCGACCCCGGCGUUCCCCACGCCAACCCGGAGCGAUUCGUGGACAUCUGGAUCGGCUCCGUCGUCUUCUCCGCCCUCACCUGGGUCAACCCCUACAUGUGGCAGCUCUCUAACCAGUUCAACUGGCAUGAUAAAGCCAUGAUGUUCGAG
RNAcentral lists this unclassified non-coding RNA (226 nucleotides) under Hevea brasiliensis (rubber tree). Lineage: Eukaryota; Viridiplantae; Streptophyta; Magnoliopsida; Malpighiales; Euphorbiaceae. The record is from RNAcentral.